AGAAUUCUAGUUAACUCAUAACAUAUGCUUGUCAAGCGUAAAUUACUUAAUAAAGUGAAUUCUA
This 64-nucleotide transfer RNA is filed under the name Nereis zonata. Its description in RNAcentral is "tRNA-Asp". Lineage: Eukaryota; Metazoa; Annelida; Polychaeta; Phyllodocida; Nereididae. The record is from RNAcentral.